UGGGGAAUAUUGGACAAUGGGCGCAAGCCUGAUCCAGCCAUGCCGCGUGGAUGAAGAAGGCCCUAGGGUUGUAAAGUCCUUUCACCGCUGAAGAUAAUGACGGUAAGCGGAGAAGAAGCCCCGGCUAAUUUCGUGCCAGCAGCCGCGGUAAUACGAAAGGGGCUAGCGUUGUUCGGAAUUACUGGGCGUAAAGCGCACGUAGGCGGCCUUGUAAGAUGGGGGUGAAAUCCCCGGGCUCAACCCGGGAAUUGCCUUCAUGACUGCAAAGCUCGAGGAUGUCAGAGGAUAGUGGAAUUCCGAGUGUAGAGGUGAAAUUCGUAGAUAUUCGGAAGAACACCAGUGGCGAAGGCGACUGUCUGGGACAUUUCUGACGCUGAGGUGCGAAAGCGUGGGGAGCAAA
This 400-nucleotide ribosomal RNA is filed under the name uncultured bacterium. RNAcentral describes it as "bacterial SSU rRNA". It matches the Rfam family "Bacterial small subunit ribosomal RNA", at positions 355 to 772 of the family's 1533-position model. The record is from RNAcentral.